AAGUCGUAACAAGGUUUCCGUAGGUGAACCUGCGGAAGGAUCAUUACAGUAUCACUGUAAUAGUCGUUGGGCCCUGAAAAGGUGCCUAAUACUUUCCAAACCUUGCCAAUAAUUUACCGUUACCUGAAGCGGGCUUGCCCCUGCUGGGUUGGAUAUACACUAAACUCUUAUAAAUACGCUGUAACUACUGCAGAAUUGUCUGAAAAUAUAUCAAUAUUAAAA
RNAcentral lists this unclassified non-coding RNA (222 nucleotides) under plant metagenome. RNAcentral's name for it is "partial contains small subunit ribosomal RNA and internal transcribed spacer 1". The stretch from base 1 to 46 matches the Rfam family "Eukaryotic small subunit ribosomal RNA", at positions 1786 to 1831 of the family's 1831-position model. The record is from RNAcentral.